Molecule: ribosomal RNA, 305 nt
Filed under: uncultured bacterium
Lineage: Bacteria
Description: bacterial SSU rRNA
Rfam family: Bacterial small subunit ribosomal RNA
Source: RNAcentral
CCUACGGGGGGCAGCAGUGAGGAAUAUUGGUCAAUGGGCGGAAGCCUGAACCAGCCAAGUCGCGUGAGGGAAUAAGGCCCUACGGGUCGUAAACCUCUUUUGCCGGGGAGCAAGGGCCGGGACGAGUCCCGGUCCGGAGAGUACCCGGAGAAAAAGCAUCGGCUAACUCCGUGCCAGCAGCCGCGGUAAUACGGAGGAUGCGAGCGUUACCCGGAUUUAUUGGGUUUAAAGGGUGCGUAGGCGGGCUCUUAAGUCAGCGGUAAAAGUUCGGGGCUCAACCCCGUCCGGCCGUUGAAACUGGGGGG